UACGGGGGGAGCAAGCGUUGUUCGGAUUUACUGGGCGUAAAGGGCGCGUAGGCGGCCAGCACAAGUCAGUUGUGAAAUCUCCGGGCUUAACUCGGAAAGGUCAACUGAUACUGUGCGGCUAGAGUGCAGAAGGGGCAACUGGAAUUCUCGGUGUAGCGGUGAAAUGCGUAGAUAUCGAGAGGAACACCUGCGGCGAAGGCGGGUUGCUGGGCUGACACUGACGCUGAUGCGCGAAGCCAGGGGAGCGAACGGG
RNAcentral lists this ribosomal RNA (253 nucleotides) under uncultured bacterium. RNAcentral describes it as "partial 16S ribosomal RNA". It matches the Rfam family "Bacterial small subunit ribosomal RNA", at positions 524 to 776 of the family's 1533-position model. The record is from RNAcentral.